RNAcentral lists this transfer RNA (71 nucleotides) under Bacillus spizizenii. RNAcentral's name for it is "tRNA-His". It matches the Rfam family "tRNA". Rfam says of the family: Transfer RNA (tRNA) molecules are approximately 80 nucleotides in length. The record is from RNAcentral. Lineage: Bacteria; Bacillati; Bacillota; Bacilli; Caryophanales; Bacillaceae.
GUGAGUGUAGCCUAAUGGCAAGGCGCUAGUUUGUGGUACUAGUUAUCAGAGUUCGAUUCUCUGCACUCACA